This 427-nucleotide ribosomal RNA is filed under the name uncultured bacterium. RNAcentral's name for it is "bacterial SSU rRNA". It matches the Rfam family "Bacterial small subunit ribosomal RNA", at positions 354 to 773 of the family's 1533-position model. The record is from RNAcentral.
GUGGGGAAUUUUGGACAAUGGGGGCAACCCUGAUCCAGCAAUGCCGCGUGAGUGAAGAAGGCCUUCGGGUUGUAAAGCUCUUUUGUCAGGGAAGAAACGGUUCUGGCUAAUACCCGGGGCUAAUGACGGUACCUGAAGAAUAAGCACCGGCUAACUACGUGCCAGCAGCCGCGGUAAAACAUAGGGGGCAAGCGUUGUCCGGAGUUACUGGGCGUAAAGGGCACGCAGGCGGUUGUGUCAGUUUGCGGGGACAGUGGGUGGCUUAACUACCCAAGGGUCGCAAAGACGGCACGACUGGAGAGCGAGAGAGGGACCUGGAACUCCGGGUGGAGCGGUGAAAUGCGUAGAGAUCCGGAAGAACACCACUGGCGCAGGCAAGGUCCUGGCUCGUAUCUGACGCUGAGGUGCGAAAGCUAGGGGAGCGAAC